Columba livia (rock pigeon) is the source of this 9281-nucleotide long non-coding RNA. RefSeq lists it as uncharacterized. The transcript is spliced from 3 exons. The record is from RefSeq and is a predicted model, not a curated record. NCBI's taxonomy places the organism in Eukaryota, Metazoa, Chordata, Aves, Columbiformes, Columbidae.
UGGCACCAGGCGCACAAUUUCAUACUGUGAUUUCUUCAUCCAUGCAAGCUAUUCACAGCUGAGCUAAGUCAUGGCUUAUAGAAAGACAAUCAAAAUGUACACAGCCCUGUGAUGCACUCUGAACUACCUAUCUGGAUUUCAAAUUUCCUUCCACAUGGCUCUCAAUUAGAAGUUUCCAUCCAUGCUCCCCCCCACCCCCUUAUUAGAAGAGUUCCUUAUCCCCCCUUGACAGCACUAAGCUAUUUUAGAUGUAACAUUUGUGCACAUAGAUGUUUCAGGAGAGCUCUAAUUUAUCAGCUAUCUACUCUUCUUUCACCCUCUUAUUCAAGCAUUUCAACAGAGCAACAGAUGGUCCUUGCGGGCCAUUUGCUGUGAUUGGAAUUGUGGUGUCCCAAAGAAGGGAUGCUUUAUUACAGCUAAAAGUGAGUCUAAGUUUCCUUACCCAGUCAGAAUUUCAAAACAUGCCUCGAUUUGCUUUGCUACUAAAGAAAACACGUUUCCCAACAACUGAAGGGUGAAAUCUGCAAACUUUAAAAAUCAUCUCUCACCAUAUGGACAAUCAUACCCUUAUAAUCAGAGAGAACAGAUAUUUUGAAGACAUAGCAUAGAAAAGUCCUCAUUUUUUGUCUCUGUACCUUAGGAUCCUGAACUUGGGAUGACUGAAAUAAUAAUUUAUUUGGAAGCAACCUCUCUUCUCUUUAUUUAUUGAUAUCAUUGGCACAUUUAAACAUUUGUAUGGACUAGUUUCAAUUGUGUACUCUAUCAAGGUACCUUAGGAGCACAGGCAUUACAUGAGCCAAAAGUUUUUUCUUAAUUAAAAAAAAAAAAACAGACUAAAAAUGCUGUCUGAAAUAUUUUUGUUUUAAUUCACAUUCUGGACAUUCAUAAAUCUUGGGGAAAUGAGAGUCAAACAGCUUGAUGCUUCAUGGUGCCGGUUUUGUAUUUUUUUGAUAGCUGACCAGCUAAAGUGAAUUCUGGGGUAUGGGCACCUUCCUAGGGAACACUUAGGCCAGGUGAAGCCCAUGACUUAGAGGCAGAGCAACGUUUUGAGCUUGACGCAUGGGUGACAUUCAGGAUUGUUAAGGCUCCCUGGACAGCACAUGAAAUCUUCUGCCAAAUUUAUUCUAUUCCUGUUUUAUGUAAAAUAGGUUUGAAAUUCUUGGUAAAAGAGACUCUAACAGAGAUCUUCCUUCCUCUCCUCUCAUGCCCCUAUGACUAUGUAUUCAGGGUACUUUCUAUUGGCAUGGAAGAAAUACAUUUGAACCCUGUGUGGAUGUACCAGUCUCUAAAUCCCAUCUGUAGCUUUCAGUCCUCAGCUGGGGUUGAUAAGAGGUUUUAUUCACCACUUUUUUAGAUGUCUUAUGUCUUUCCUUCUGUAGAGCUUCACAGCCUGCAGACUUUUGAACUGAUCCAGCCUCUUGACUCUGGGAACUGACUUUGUGCCACAGCCUGUUCACGUCUGUCUUGCAUCAGACGCACAAGUUCACAGACCAAGCAAAUGGAUGAUUCAAGCCUGUGAUCUGAACCCUUAGACCAGGACUGAAGUGUAAAGAGUCACAUUGUGUGAUGUCAGGUUCUGAGAGGGCAGCAAAUUUUUCUUUCCCUCUACAAGAAAGAAGACAAGAGAAGGAGGUUUCUGUUUUCUCUCAAUUUAGAACAGUAAAUAUAGCUUAAUAGCACUUCUUUCAUUUCACAGCAGAUUUUAUGCAGAGCUCAACAUACCAAGGUCCAUGGACAGGGUAAAAUAAACCGGUAGAUUUCAGAUGGAAAAGACAUUGUGGCAGGAGAGGAGAUUACUGAGGGAAAUAAGUUGAUUUAGCCAGACAGGAAAAGCAUACGUGCUGGGAUGGUCUGGAUUAUGGAGGUAAAGCCUGUAAUUUUGAAUUACAUUCACAAGGUGAACUCAUACAGUAAAACUUUACUCUUUUAUGUCCUAUCAUCUUGGGGAAUUCAUAACCCAGAUUAGAUGCCAGACUCCCUUAUCUAAUGCAGAAGAAUGAGAUGCCUGAGAAUAGGAAAUAUAAAAAGCAGCAUAAUGAACAGGAAGCUGUAAGGGUGAAUCUGUGGAAAAUGCCAGUAGAUUUUACCUAUGUUUAACCUGGAAGUUUUCUGAUUUCCCCCUGUGCUCAAAAGUGUUUGUUCUGUGAAGAUGGUCACCUUUCUACAGCACAAAGCUUUAGACUGGUCCAGAUUUAGGGCAGAUGGGUCUGUGAACUCCAUUUAGGAGUCUUUGGAGGAUGAUGAACAGCUAGGUGUGCCUAAGACUAUGACUAGCUUUGGUGGUGCCCAUCUUUUACAUAAACUCCUACCACAAAAGCAUGGCAAGAAAAUUCUCAUAAUCUUUAUGAAGACUGAACUCAGGCUUAAGAGAGCAUAAUAAACACCAGCCCAUGGGGUACCUGGUGUGACAGCACUUUCCAGUUUGCUAUAUUUUUCUCUAGAAGUUGAGUCACUGCGCAGCCAUUUAUGCAACACUGGUGGGAGCACAAACCACAAAGUGUUUAUAUCACUUCACUUAACUGGGUUGGAAGGUAGAGGUCAGAAUGUGGAGGCUAAUAGAUUGUACAUUACCUGGAAGGUGACAACAAGUGAAGAACUACAGAGGACUAUACUGGGACUUGUUUUGUUUAACGUUUUUAUCAAUGACCUGCAGGAGAUGACAGAGUGCACUUGUCACAUUUCCAAAUGACACCAAAAUGGGGGGCAGGGAAGGGAAUGAGGACCCACUGAUAUGCUUGAGGGCAGGGUCACCACCCAGUGGGACAUAGGGUGGAGGAAUGGGCCGACAGGAACGUUAUGAAAUUCAAUAAGGACAAACACCAGGUCCGGCACCUGGGAUUACCUUGCAGUGAUAAAGGCUGGGAACACUCCAGCUGGGGAGUAGCUCUGCUGGGGAGGACCCAAGGGCCAUGGCAGACAGCAAGCUGAACAUGAGCCUGCAGAAGCGAAGAAGGCCAACAGUAUCCUGGGCUAUAUUAACAGCAGCCUGGCCAGUACAGGGAAGGGAGUGAUUAUCCCCCUUUGCUCAGCACUCCUUAGAUGGCACCUAGAAUACCACACCCACUUUCAGGCCCCUCAGUACAAGACAGACAUCAAUUAAAUGGAGCAAGUUCAGAUGAAGGCUACCAAGAUGAUUGGGGUCUGGAGCCUUUACCUUACGGAGAAAGACUGAAGGAUCUGGGAUUUCUUCUGAGGAACCUGACUGCUGUGGACUACAUCUAGAUAUAUGGAGCAAAACCCUGUCUUUCCAGCAGCCUGCCAGUAGCCAUGAGGAUGUUAUUAAGAAGACAUAACCAGGCGCUUCACAAAGGAGCAUGUCAGGAUGGUGAGGGAUGUUUGGUAUAUGUUGAGGUAAAAAAGCUUCAGGUAGGUAUGAGGAAAACCUUUUCCCCAUGAAGACAGUCACACAGUGAAACACAUCACCCAGAGGCUGUAAUCUCUACCUUUGGACAUUUUCAAAACCAGACUGGACAAGGCCCUGGCCAACCUGCUCUGAUCUCAUAUCUGAGCUGCGUUUGAACCACAGAAUUCCUGAGGUCCCUUCCUGAGUUGUCCUCUGAUCCUGUCAAUACACAUCUGGGGUUUGUCUGGGUGCAAGGAGACAGUACUGCUUAUGCUGUAGGCUUGAAACUCACUCUUUGUCUUAUAACAGCCUGGUGUUUGGGGCUUUUUCUUGGCACAUGGGCUUGUUUAAUGCCUCUUGGGCUAAAAAGAACAUAAACCCGAGUCUAUUACUCCCUGGGUGGUGUCAAUACUUAGUAAAGGGCAGACAGCAGCCACAUUGCUUUGUUGUAAUGUAGCUACAUGUUAUAUAGCUGUAAUAUGUUGUAAAAUAGGCCCACCCUUGUACAUCCCUAGCGUGGAUCCUAAAUAGUUACUGACUGUGCUCACAUGGGGAGUGGCCACCUCUCACCACCCAGAACUCAUGGCCACAGGUCCUCUCUGGGGUCAAUGCCUGCCCUUUUCUUGUAAGAACUGAAACUGCUGCCUCACUUGCAGCUUGGGUAUCAUGGAUUGGAGCAGUCAUUCAGCCUAAAGGACUGGCUGCAGUGGCAAGGGGUCACGACUUAGAGCUUCACCUGGGGAAAUGGAAGGUGGGCAAAAUGGAGGCAGAGAAACCGUCUGAAAUAACAUCCAGGUAUGGGUGAUGAGUCAUCGUCGCGAAGCUGUGAUCCUUCCUUCCGCUAUAACAGAAGAUGCUGGCAUAGAAGCAGGAACAUAUUUUUCUUGCAGUUUCAAAGUCACACUGGAUGGACUUUGGAUACUUUUUAGAAGCUGUGCAGAUGGGAUGUAGAAGAUGGGCACCUAAAUGCUGCUUGUGCUCUAGCAGCAGAGAUCUGCUGUGACUGGCUGGUUGUCCCAGGAGCCUCCUUUCAGUAGUGACAGCCCUGAGUUCUCCUGUCAUCCGUUCAUCAACUUCUACAGGUUAUCACUACUUAGAGUGAGGAGGUUUUCAGUUUUGGAAAUGCUAACAGAUAGAACACACAGGCAUGAACACACACCUCAAAGUGUUGGGCUCAUCCCUAUCCUCCAGGUCACAGAUACUUUACUUUCCCACCAUUUAAAUUUCUUUUCCUAAUUCAUGUGACUCACCCCUUAUCUCAGUCUUUUAAAAUCUAAUCUAGAUUUUUCCUUUCUCAGCAAUUUUUAUCUACUUUUGACUUCAAACUUUGUGAAAGUACCUCCCACUGCUACUGUUUGACUUCCAUUGAAUCUCCCAUCUGUUACUCUGUAACAGGGCUGAAAUAAGGCACCUUCAUCUACUAACAAGGUGUUUCCCAAGGCCAACAUGACCUUUUCUGGCUGCUGCCAAGGCUUCUUGUUAUUUUCAUCUUCCCCAGUCUGUCUGUGGCUACCAAGCUACCAGUGAUAACUCAAAUAAUCAAUUUCUCAUUCAUUAUUCUGUCCUCAAACACCUUUGACCAUGCUUCUCCCCUUCUCAACCUUUCCUUUAUGAUCAGUUCCUCAGUGAUUCUUUGUUAUUUUGUCUCUAUCUUUAGCCUGUUUUCAUUUUCAUCCUCUGGCAGUCCCUUGGCAGCCCAUUCCCCUGUCCAUGCCGAUAGCUCACAUGGUUAUCUCCUUGUCCUUGACCCACGGCCUGGCCAUUCUCUCUCUAGUCUUCUUAUAUGGUUCUGACAUUGCUAUGAUGUACUCAUCAACUCAAACACAGCUUUAUAUCAACUGGAUUCUAUUUUUGUCUUUUAUUUUCCAUCCUUCUUCAUUACCAGUAUGAAUUCCCUGGGCUACUUGGCAAAUUGUCGUCACUGGACUCUCACCAGAUGGUCAUAAUAGUGUCCCGGAUCUGAAGCCUCUAAGUUCUUAUCUUACUGGGGCUGAAAACAGGCUAAACCCUGUUCUUGGCUUUAAGCAUCAACCCUGUAUUUCCAGAGCACAUCUCAUGCCUGGCACCAGGAGCGACUCCUCAGUCUAAUAGCCUAGCUCUGGAACCGGUACCUUCUCUGCCUAAUUCUUCUCAGCAGUCAUUAUGUCUCCUUGUAUCCCACUGAAGAAAUAUGAGUCUUCAUUUGGUUUACAUUUUAUUUCUUCAAGGGCACAUGAUAGAUGCAGGUAAAAAAAAUUUCUGCAUAUGCACACACACACAUGCAAUUUUCAUAAGAGUCUAAAACUUGACUGAUCUUUUCUAAAUAAUACAAGAAACACGUGAAUUGAGGUAAGGUUAAAAAAGCCGUAAAGCCUCUCUGUGUUUCCACUGCCUUGGUUUCCUCCUCAUUCUGGAUGUAGUCUUUCGGCUUCAUUCAGAGCCACUCAAGAACAUAGAAAAUAUUUUCUCUGCAAUAUUGUAUUGCCUUUGAAACCAAAAGUUUCAAUCAGCUCACUUUAGUACAGUUGGUCUUGUCAAUAAAGAGGGUCUUCCUAUUACAAAGGCAUAUCUUUUUAUUCCGUUCUCUUACUUUAAACCCUCUCUCACUGCCAUCUCAGUGAGUGUCUUCUCUGUGUGUGUUCCAAUACAGGAUUCCUUUGUUUUGCCACUGGCUCUUCUUUCCUCUCCACUUCACCUGCAGACUAGCUGAAGUAAAGUACUUCUCCUUGCUUCUGCUGACCCCCUUGGCAUUGUCUGUUUAGAGUAGAGACAUUAAGAUCUCUAUUAUAGCUAGUCUGGGAAAGACAUACUUAUGGCCUUGUGACUGAAUACAUAGUGGUAUUCAAUGAUACAAUAGUUUUCAUAGGAACAAUUUCAUCAUAUCGAACACAACAGUGAAUUUCCACUUGCAAUCUUUCACCCAUUUUUCAUCUCCUCUUUCUCUUAUUCCCCUCCCAUUGAUACACUUGGCUGACGCUCAGCAGAAAAGACAGUGCAGUAACCUAAUUCUUUCUUCUCUUUUCCAGCUUUCUUGUCAUACCUUUGCAUAGUUUUGCAGCCUGGAAUCCCCUUAUCCCUAAAAUCAGUAUUCCUUAUUCAACUUCAAUCUGGGCAAAAAUGUGUUUACCAUCUGGCAAAUUAUCUUCUUGGCCUACCACACCCACACAGAAAAUGGGAAGGGAGCUCAAAAGGUCAUCGGGCCUAUCGCUUGCCCUGGGGCAGGAUCAGCCACAUCUCCAACAUUCCCAACAGAUGUUUAUCUAACUUGUUCUUAAAACCUUCAUGUAUGGAGAUUUUCCUAGCUCCUCAUGCAGUGCUCAGUUCUCCUUGCAAAUUCUUAAUGAUCCUUGGUGUCCUGAGCUCUUCAAUUACAACCUCUCACAUUCCCCCAUUAAAUUCAACCUGCUUAUCUGCUCCUUCAAAGGCUCUGCACAGCUCUGGCUCCAUCUGUCCCUGGUUCUUUAUGAGAGUGUCUUCACAGGGUGUCUGGGUGCCUUUGCCCUCUUACUGAUUAGCUAUUUAAGCCGCAUAUCUCUCCUCACAUUCUGCACCCACCCAUCUCACUAUCUCCAUCUGUCUGGCGUCCCUUUGCCCAAAAAUCACUUCAUCAGGCUUUCAUUUUCACUUUCACGAACUUUCCCCUUAAAGUCUUUUCUUUUGUGAAUAAGCAGACUCUAGUCCACUUUAAAAUGUGCUUUUUAAAUGACAGCCCCCCCACUCCCAGCCCAAAAGUUACUAUUCAGUCUGCCACCCUGUGCACCCAGCCAAGUGUUGGGUUUUGUUUGCCUUCAUUAGCCUGUAAACUCAUUUUGGGUGGGGCUGUUUUCUGCCCUUUGUUCUCCACUGUGUUGAAUGUGCUGACAGCACUGAACUCUCGAUAAUUAAUAGCACAAACAAAGCUUAAAAAGGGAUGGAUCAAAGGAAGGAGAAAGGGAAGGCAGAGGGAAUAUGAGGUUUUGUUUAAAGCAGCAAGGAAGCUUCAGGAUAAAUGUAUCCUGUUGGGAUGUGUUGAACACCUGUUAGGAAGAGGUUAUGGGUAAGAUUGUUGAACAAUUUGAAUGAAGGCAGUCUCUGCAUCUCCCUAAAAUGCUCAGAAAAAAAUGCAUCCAGCGUAAGAGGUUGACACUUUGUGUAAAUUAAUGUAAAGCAAGAGAGACAACCAGUAGAUGAGUGAAACCUGGAAAGGACGCAGGAAAAGCACCACUGACCCUUUACCACAGGGUUUACCUUGGUCUGGACAUUGAAGCUUGCUUCCGUGUGUCCACUCUGCUACACUUCUCUUGACUUAUACCAAAAGACUUCUGAAAAGCUGAAGCAGACCUUAGAAGUGUUCAAUACCAUAGUGCUAAUGGUGACUGCCUGUUCCUCUGUGUGGAAUGGCUGAGCAAAUAUUGACAGUGCUGGCCCUACAGGCAGGAAACCUCCUCCCAUCGCCCUCUCUUCAGCAGACUCAAAGGUGGUAUGAGAAGGGAGGGAUGGAAGGUGGUGCUUCCAUGGCACGUGGUAUAGAGCUUUCUGGUGGUGUUCAGUGAAUUACCUCGUACACAGGUCAGUGGAUCACACAAACAACCUGGAGUUCUCUGAUUGUAGCCAUGAAGGGUUUCAGAGUCCUUAUGUGCCAACCACUGGUGGUGGAGUAGCAGCACAAGGUCAAAAUGUUCGCUUCACUUCAGUGCUAGGACACUUCAGACAUGACAUCCUCCAGAACUCCGGAGGUAGAUUUCCAUCAUCCUCUGUCAGCAAUUUACUCAACACCUCUGCAAAUCCAUUGCUGGCUGGACCAUUGCUGGCAAAAGAAAUGUCAGUGCUGUGGUAAUAGAAGAACAUGAAGUUUAUUAUUGCAGCUUUUCCCACCAAAAUCACAGUCACCACUGAAAAAUAAAACACCCAAAUUGUGCUGUGAAUUUCAGUGGCAAAAAUAUGUUCAUUGUCUGCCUCUGUGUGUGUGAAUGGAAACUUAAGAAAAUACUGCUUGGCCAUUAUCACUGUCUUUGGACAACCAUCAACAUCAAUGUCAAGUUGUUACAGAAAGUAGAGUGGAAAGGUCUUGUGGAGUUAACCAGUCUGGUCAUGAAGAACAGUGUUAUUGCACGGUAACAUCAAUGUCAAUGGCGGGUCUGCCUUCCUGCUAUUCAAGUGACCCAGGCAACCAGAUUUUGUGUUGGCUCCUGAAGGUGGACCUGGAUGAAAGAGAACCUGGAAAAAAGCGACUGCACUCACCUCAGUGGCUGGGGAUUGCAGGAAAAAUGUGCUGUCUGCACACCUAACUUCCACCGUGGUGUCUCUAAUGUUACUGGUACUAUCAGGUCAUGCAAUGCAUGGCACGACACAUGGAUCAAGAAGGGAUGGGGGGCUUCCACCGGGAACAGGAGGAUUUACGUCGUUCACAGACCUGAUACAGGCAAUCAGAGAGUACACGUGUCAUCAAAGGAGCUGCGUCGGGAAAGUAAGGGCAUUGCUUUGUGAGUGAAAAAGCAAUCUGAGGAAGUGCUGUAGUACACAUAUCAAUCUGUCUAUUCACUGUUACUAUUAUUAUGAGAAUUUAUUAAAAAUUCUAGCUUAAACUUCCUGCCUCUUUAUUUUUGUAAAAUCAAUAGAUUGUGUAACCAGAUGGGUUGUACAAACACAGACAUCCCUGCCGUUGCGAUGCAGGGAGCUCAAAUGUUCAUAUAAGCAAAAGGUUCAAUGGGCAAGGACAAGAGGUAGAAAAUGCUGGAGAGGCCAGUGCCAGCAGCUGCUGAAUCCCCCUGACUCCCGCAUCGCUGAGAGCACAAGAUGGAGGUGAACAGGGGCUGCCUGGCCACACUUGCUUCCCUCCCAGAAGUUCUAUUAGAUAGCUAAAAGUGGAUUAAGGGAUGAUUUUUACCUUCAAAGGAUUCACAUGACUCAAAAUGAGUUACUUCUGAAAAGUUUUGUUUUGCUAGAAAGAAUAACAAACUAUUUAAAAUAAUAACACGUA